CUGGAAACAAUGCCGAGAGAAAUUUUUGAUGUGAUUGGGAAGCUGGGAGGGGCCGUGGGGCUGGAGCGGCCUCCCUUCCCUCCUGCCCCUGUCUGUCCCUCUAGAGCUGCCUGGAAGUGAGAGGUCUGCAUGGCUGUCACAGAUAGAUCAAAAGUGAUCAGUGUGAUGACCGGGAAGGGACAACUGAGCCCGAUUUCAGAGCUCGGACUCCCUUCUCCAGAUCCAUGUGGACCAGUCGGAUGUCAGUUUGGAAGGGGACACAGCGAGGUGUCUGAGAAGGAACUUGGGCGCUCCCUCUCCUACUCCUGGACUUCUCAGAUACGAAGUGGAAAAACAGUGGUGCGACACAGUGUGAGGUGAGGAGAGCUAAUUCAGGAGGUUUUACUGAUGCUCACUUUGGCCCAGCCGCUGGGGAUUUAAGACUCAGCAGCUCAGUUUCAUGAAGGUGGCAGACGUUUAAAUCCUAACGCGCUGUGAAAGAAGCAAUAGUAGAGGAGGAUGGCACAGAAGAACAGAGGAAGGAUCACCAUUCUGGGACAUGGGAUAGCCUGCUGCCUGAGACUUCAUCCCCCAGGAAGAUCUAAAGGACCUCAUUCAUACUAACAUGUAAAAGACUAAUAUCUUCUGGGAUACUUAACUUUCUGCAAAGAUGUGUGGCUUUGUCUGCAUUGGUCCUUGGAGAGAGCUGGAAUCACACACACACACACACACACACACACACACACACACACACCAUGCGAUCUUUCCAGUACCUUUUAAGGUAUUUUAUGUUGGCAAUCGCCUGCUUCACCAAUGUGAUGUUCUCUUUCCUGCCAACUCCUACUAGGAUGGAUCAUGGCAUUAGAGGAAGCAGCCUCUCUUAGCCUGGGUUCAGGUCACUGACUCUGCAGAAGGAGGGAUGAAUGAGCCCUACCUGCCUAUGCCCUGAAACACUGAGAAUGGCUUCAGCAAGAACUGAAGAGGAGAUCAGGGGUGUUUUUGUGUCUGUAAGUUGAGUCUCUGUUUGGAACACUGGAAGGGGAAGAGGGCCAAGGGCAGGAAUAGGGUCCAAAUGAAAAACUAGGCUUACAGCCAGAAACACUGAGAGACAAAGAGGAAGAGAGGAAAAAAGAAUGGCUCGCUGAAAUGGAUGUGCUCAGAUGGGAUUAUCUAUGAAUUUUACUUAUUUCUCAGUGAUUUUCUGUUUUCCAAAGUUUCUUCAUUGAGCAUGUGUCCAUGUUCCUCUUAAACAGAUGUACUAUUUCAGACAGACUCAAUUGGCCUGGCACAGUUCCUCAAUAGAAUUUCAGUAAAUACUCAAUAAAUAUUUGUUGAUCUUUUUUGAAAAUGGGGGUCUCAAUACGCCCAGAUUCUCAGCUCCUGUGCAGGCCCCUGGAUUUUGGAAUGCCAGAGGUGGGCAGGGCAAGUGGGGGAGGAGUCUGUGAGGGCACCUGUCCCUAGAACCACCACACUUCUUUCAGAUGGAAAGCCUUUAGUUUCUCCAAACUAAACUUUCCACAGAAGCCCAGAGAGGAGAGUAGGUCAGGGUACAUUUGAGGAGGGGAGAGGAAGCAGGCGUGCCCCCACACCCUGAGAGCUGCCCUGGGGAUCCCAUGACCUCCAGUGUGAAAAUUGUAAGCUUGCUCUCACUCUGUCCCUCAAGCAGACAUUUUUUCAAAUUUGGAGCCUCAGAUUGAAACAAUGGGCUCAAGAUCACAUAAUAAAUUGGCAGCCAAACCAGAUCACAGCCAGAACUUGCCCCAGAAUGGCCUCUCCUUGGUUUUGACUGACUUGACUGCCCAUUGCAAACAAAUUGUUGUGGCCAUGGGUUGGGUGGGGGUAGGGGGAUCUGCUGAUCGUUUAAAGUCCAUCAGGGCCCACCCUUGAAGCUGUGGCUUGGUGAGUCUCCCUAAAUCACAUGUACCAGAAUGUCAGUGGAUUGUUGGUUAUGAAAGAGUAAGAAAGCACUAGAGGGAGAGACGGUCUUAGAAGUCCUGCUAGCUCUAUUGGACCACUGUCCCUAUG
RNAcentral lists this long non-coding RNA (2004 nucleotides) under Canis lupus familiaris (dog). RNAcentral describes it as "lncRNA (ENSCAFG00040020279.1)". Lineage: Eukaryota; Metazoa; Chordata; Mammalia; Carnivora; Canidae. The record is from RNAcentral.